This 2343-nucleotide long non-coding RNA is filed under the name Salmo salar (Atlantic salmon). Its description in RNAcentral is "lncRNA (ENSSSAG00000114106.1)". The record is from RNAcentral. Lineage: Eukaryota; Metazoa; Chordata; Actinopteri; Salmoniformes; Salmonidae.
CGCAAGUUCUGACAGUUGGCUCUUGGGUAGCUAGCUAGCAGAGUUGUUUACUUGCGACGUUUAAUUUUCUCUGGCUAAAUUAGCCCAGCAUAGUUAUUCAAUUCAGUUAUCUAGGUUGCCAUACACGAGGUGUUAUCCAUGGGCAGCCUUGCCAGUGAGGUUUUGGAUGAGGCCCACUGUUUCUGGGCGACGUGCGCUCAUCCUUGCUGCUGGGAGUCGGAGCAGCGCAUUGCCAAAGGCGUCCCACACUACAUAAAGCAAAGAACAUCAGAUGGGGGCAGAGCCCCUGUAGAUGGCCUAAAUCUCCCUAUGUACCUGUCAAGGAGCUCAUUUGCCUUCCGUCCUUAAAAACCUCAAAAAUUAACAGAAAUCCAAGAAUUCAAGUCCAAGAGUCCAAGAAUGUGCGGAAGAGGGUGCCGUUCCAGCUGACAACAUUGACGUCAAAGCCGAAAAGUGAGCAUGGGUUGAGCUCCCCAGUGGCACAGCAAACUGUCCACCCAACAGACCUUGCCCUGGCCAAACCUGACACAGACACUGACCCCAACAGGGAGGAGGAGGAGGCCCAGACCCAGGCUCAUACCAGCCCACACCCUCCCCCAGCACCUAGGAUCCCCAGUGCUUUCCUCCUCAGGAACAAGCCUGUGGUGUUCCACAGUGUCAGGGAGAGGGUACUGAGAAGACACACCCAGCAGGACCUCUCAACGUACAAGUACAAACUGGACAGCAAGAAUGGUGGGGGUGGCAUUGACUGGGAUAGUCUGAGAAGACAGACCUAUCUGUGGAGGAAGCACAACCUUCCACCCAACUGUGACAGAGAGAAGCCAUUUCCCCCAGAGGACAUGACUGUCAGCCAGAAAGGCUUUGGUUUCUACCCCAUCCCAAAGGCCAUGCUCCAUCACGACCCAAGGAGCCCUCUGUCCAAAGGUCCAGCUGUGUGGCGCUGCCUGGAAUGUGUGGAUGGGAUGUGGUGUGGCCAUGGUGGUGGUCCACUAGCCUCCAUAUCCAAGUGCCUUAACUCAUUGGUGUCAAAGAGUUCCUUCAAGUUCUGUAGCAGAUCCAACCUCAGCUGUCAAAACCCCUUGCACCAACUCCUAGAUGGAGAUUACCUAAGUGAUGUGAAUCCAGGCAACAAGGGCACCAUCGCUCCUCAGAACUCCAUGAUGCACCUUCAGGACACAGCUUCACACUACAGUGACUGUCAAGGAGAGGAUAAUGAAUUUGGCUUAUGCUCAGAGAGAGAUGCUGAAGGAGGUCUAGGAGCCCUAGAGAGGCCGGGUAGGAGCUCUUAGGACAAAGGGCACAGGCCUUCAGGGUCCCAGCCAUCCCCUCCACCAUCUAUCGUCAACUCCGAUACCUGUGGAGAUGGUUAAACUUGAAUAUGACGAGACAGACACUGAACGAUCCAGGACUAAGAUCCAGGAGUAAAUGUACUCAUCAUGCCUGUGAACAUUCACAUAUUUCAUCCAGAGCUAUCCUUAUGCUUUAGAUAAAUACAUCUGGUAGCUUGCUUUUUUUUCAUGUCAAGUAUAGCCUAACAUGGUAAUGUAACAAUAUACUCUAAGUGUACAAAACAUUAAGGACACUUGCUCUUUCCAUGUCAUAGACUGGCCAGGUGAAUCCAGGUCAAAGCUAUGAUUCCUUAUUGAUGUCACUUGUUAAAUCCACUUCAAUCAGUGUAGAUGAAAUGGGAGGAGACAGGUUAAAGAAUGAUUGUUAAGCCUUGAGACAAUAUAGAAAUGGAUUGUGUAUGUGUGCCAUUCAGAUGGUGAAUGGGCAAGAUAAAAGAUUUAAGUGCCUUUGAACAGGGUAUGGUAGUAGGUGCUAGGCACAGCGGUUUGUGUCAAGAACUCAACAGUUUUGUGUAUCAAGAAUGGUCCACCACCCAAAGGACAUCCAGCCAACUUGACACAACUGUGGGAAGCAUUGGAGUCAAUAUGGGCCAGCAUCCCUGUGAAACGCUUUCGACACGUUGUAAAGUCCAUGCCCCGACGAAGUGAGGCUGUUCUGAGGGCAAAAGCGGGGGUGUAACUCAAUAUUAGGAAGGUGUCCUUAAUUUAAUGUUUUGUCCACUCAGUGUAUGUUAACUUACAUGAUUUAUACUGCCUAAUCCUUAUUCAACAAUCAAUCAACAAUUCUUAUUCAGUUAUGUCAUGAUUCAGUAUUUGAUUAUUUGACAUUAGUCAGCUUCAUGGUAGCCUUGCAUAUCAGGAUUGUAGGUGCUUCUCACCACAGGGUUUACGUAGAGUCCACCACCUUCAUGGUUAUAAGAGGGCACCAGGUGUCACUGUAGAGUCAUCGAGGAAAUUCCCAAUUUGUCUGUUUUGAUCAGUUGCCAUUGCCAAC